GAAGGCGGGUUCUUUCUUGUGAUAGGUCGUCGCUAAGACACGCCAAAGAUUGACAGCUUUCCGGCUUCCGGUUCAUUCCGUGGGCUGUGCGCAGAAGUUGCUAGUCACAGGAGCCACAAUGGCGUUUGUAGUCUCCUUAAGAUAGGGCUGUGGAUGAUAUUAAAUCCACUAGCAUCGCCCUAAAUAUAGGCCUGGUUGAUUCCCAGAGCAAUUGAUAAUAAACUGGAACAUCUAUUGCACACGAAAAUAUUAUGAUUUCUAUUCAAUAUUGAGUUUAUAGAAGAUAAAACUAACAUUAAAGGGAACAUGUAAACAGUACCAACCGGGUCAAGUUUUCAUUUUGUUGGAGAAACGAGCGUCUUUUAAUGAAGACGUUUCCUUGUUUCUGAAAUCCAAAACCGUAAUUUUGUGGAAAAACACCUUUACUUAACUUGGCACCGGACAAGGACAGCUUUCACAAAGGGACUUUUUUCUUUUUUACGAGUCAGCAGAGCAUUAGCUAGCGGUGCUAGCUAAAUUGAAACGGAGACGACAGCACAGUGCUCCGGUCUUUGGUUGGGAUCUUCUUCUUUUAAUAAUUCUCGGUUCCUGAUCUACAGAACUGGAAAACGACCGCGGUGUUUUUCUGCUUUGACGAACUGUGGCGGCGAUCUCAGCGGAAUGAAUUAGCGCUGAGGAGGACUGGACAAACGGUUCUCCUGUGAAUGAAUUGCCUGGACUACCAAGGCCCAGUCGCAGGAGAGGUACCGACGCCGGCGUGAGUGAUGCCUGGGUCGGACCGACGCCAUGGGACCAAGAGGAAGCCGGAAUCUAGCAUCAGCGGUGUGCCGACCCAGGCCCCGACCCGCUCCUCCGACAUGACGAGCAAAGGCGGCAAGGUGCAGUUGAAAUCUCUAAUGUCGGCUUCAAAACGCAAACGACACAAGUCGAACAAACUUAAUCGGGAAUUCUUGGCGGCACAGGGACCCGACGAUUUUACCCUCGGCGAUACGGCGCCUCCUGGUGUCAACCCGGUGAAGCCUCUGGUGGAGUACGACGACAUCAGCUCCGACUCGGACACGUUCUCGGACCCACCGUCUUCCAGGCCUUCCGAGAGGGGGGUCGGGGACCGCCUGGAGCCCUCACCUGAAGACGGUAGGGACGACAUUGGCAGAGAAGCUGGCGGUGGAGAGAGUCGGGGGCACAGGCACUCUCGAAAAAAAUCGAAGGACCCUAAUAAAGUUAGAGACUCCGGGAAUGGGGAACGUGGGUACAAGAAAAAGAGCAGCAAGGACCGGGAGAAGGGGGUUCCUGGAAGGAGCAAGGAGAAGGCUGCCUCCUCAGGCUCCUCGUCCAAACGCCACAUUCAGUCAGAAGGAGACCUGAAACGCGGGGAGCUGAUGCUCUCCCAGGGCCAACCCGCGGCCAGUGUAGGCAGCACCACUUCCUCCACGUCCUCGUCUCGCAGUAAAGAGAGCGGGCGCUCAGGGAAGUCCCGCAAAGACCGGCAGCAGCGGAGGGAAGUCCGCGGAGAGGCCGGCCACAGCUCGACCCAAAGGAUCCGGACGGACAGGACCCAUCGCAAGUCCUCCAAGAGCCACAAGUCCAGCCCCAAGGGCAAGUCUUCGGUGCGGGGUAGCCCCCGCAGGAAGGGUACUAGCUCUGCCCUGUCGCCGAGUCCCAGAAGAGGGGCUGGCAGUGAGAGUCCACUGGGCAGCGGGUACGGGCAGCAGGGGGAUGAGUCCUACAGCAGGCGGAGGGCGCCCCAGCAGAGCCCCAGUCCCUACGGGGACAUGUCCCACCGCACCAGGCAGAGGUCCGACAGCCCCUACGGCGGCAGACACCGGUCUUCCAGCUACGAGAGGGACAGCAGCCCCUACCCAGGCAGGAAGCGCUCCAUGAGUCCUUACGGCGCUCGGAGGUCGUCCAGCACCAGCCCCAUGUCUCGACGCUCAGGUCGCUCUAGGAGUCGCUCCCCUCUGCAGUAUUCAUCUCGUCGCUCCUCGUCACGCUCCCGUAGUAAAAGGCUUAGUUCCUCUGGGGCAGUAGGUGGCAGCUCCCACAGCAGCAGGCCAACUAGCCGCUCCCCCCCUUCCACCCGCCUGCCGCUGAACUCCAGUCUGGGAGCAGAGUUGACCCGCAGGAAAAAGGAACGCCUGGCGGCGGAGGCGGCUGCCCGCGCCACGAGUGGCGGCGCUUCCCCUCUUCCUUCAGUACGAAAACCUGCCGGCCCCGCCUCGGCACGACCUGCUAAAGCUGAGGCUCCACAGCCAGAGGAGGCAGCAGCAGCACCACCAGAACCUCAGCCCCCACCACCCACACAGUUAACACAGGAAGCACCUCCUGUGGAAGAUCAAGCUAUUGCACCUGCUCUGGCUUCUUCCACCACCUCACCUGCACCUUCUCAGCCUUCUCCUCCUGCACCGCCGCCUAGUUCAGCCAGCCAGGUUCCACCGGCGCCUCAGACAGAAUGUGCUCAGCCUCCAAUACCUUCUACCACAUCCCAUGCAAAGUCUCCAGCUGCCGUUCCUGCACGAAGCCCCGUUUGUCAGACUACAAUCCACAAGACGUCCACUCUGCCCCCCCUGCCUUUACCACCUGCACUGCUUGGAAACACUCAGGACAGCCCAAAGAAGUCCACCCCUCCCCAGAGGCUCUCAAGAAAGGACAAGGAAGUUCGCAGCCGGCCAUCACUCAUCGACCUUCCUUUACCACCCACCCUACAUGGAGCAGACUCAUCACCCCCCCAGUCCCCCGUUCGACAGGCUCCCCCACUUCCUCAACCAGCCCUUAAAAAGAGACCAAAGAUUUGCUGCCCACGCUACGGUGAGCGCAAACAUACUCAGAGUGACUGGGGCAAACGCUGUGUAGAUAAGUUUGACAUAAUUGGCAUCAUAGGAGAAGGCACAUAUGGACAAGUGUACAAGGCCAAGGACAAGGACACCGGUGAACUAGUGGCUCUGAAGAAAGUGCGUUUAGACAAUGAAAAGGAGGGGUUCCCCAUCACAGCCAUCCGAGAGAUCAAGAUCCUGCGGCAGCUCAAACAUCGCAGUGUUGUCAACAUGAAGGAGAUCGUCACUGACAAGCAAGAUGCACUUGACUUUAAAAAGGAUAAAGGUGCGUUCUACCUGGUCUUUGAGUACAUGGACCAUGACCUGAUGGGCUUGCUGGAGUCUGGCCUGGUCCAGUUUUCUCACGAGCACAUCCGCAGCUUCAUGCGCCAGCUGAUGGAAGGCCUGGACUACUGCCACAAAAACAACUUCCUGCACAGAGACAUCAAAUGCUCCAACAUCCUGCUCAACAACCGAGGACAGAUCAAACUGGCUGACUUUGGCUUGGCCCGGCUUUACAAUUCAGAGGAAAGCCGACCGUACACUAAUAAAGUAAUCACACUAUGGUACCGCCCCCCUGAACUCCUGCUGGGAGAGGAAAGGUACUCUCCAGCCAUUGAUGUUUGGAGCUGCGGGUGUAUUCUGGGAGAGCUCUUUACGAAGAAGCCCAUCUUUCAAGCUAACCAGGAACUUUUACAGCUGGAGCUCAUUAGCCGUUUGUGUGGAAGCCCAUGUCCUGCAGCCUGGCCUGAUGUCAUUAGACUUCCCCUUUUUAACACCAUGAAACCCAAGAAACAGUAUAGAAGACGCCUGAGGGAGGAAUUUGCCUUUUUACCUACUGUAGCUCUAGACUUGCUGGACCGUAUGCUGACCCUCGACCCUGCACGUCGAUGCACAUCGGAGCAGGCUCUCAACAGUGACUUUCUGUGUAACGUGGAGCCCAGCAGGAUGCCACCACCGGACCUUCCUCACCAUCAGGACUGCCACGAGUUGUGGAGUAAGAAGAGACGCAGGGCACGUCAGAGUGGGGUGCCUGAAGACGUGCCUGUGCCCAAAGUGCCCCGUAAAGAUGCGACAGGAACCUCUAGUGGGGAGAACAGUCGGUCACAAAGCAGUCCGGCUGCCCCGCCACCUCCACCAGGAAAGCCACCCGCCACAGCCAACUUGGAGAGCCUGGGAGCAGCUGCAGAGCAGCUGAACCAGACUGAGCUGGCAGUACUGUUGAACCUCCUACAGGGACAGGGAGAUCUCAGUCUGCCUCAGGUGACCCAGCUCCUCAAUGUCUCCAACCCAGAGACUCUUAUUCAGACAUUGUCUGCCCUCAGUGAGGCCUCUGACCACCAGGGGGCUUCAGAGGACCCAAGCCAUUCUGGUGCCAGGUCUCAGCCUCCAGAGCCGCCACCUGAAGUCCAGGAGCCCUCGCCAACGUCCGGAGAACCGCCGCUCAGCCAAGACGACCAGGCGAACCUGCUCGCUCUCAUUUUGGGCCACAUUAUCAAGACUCAAACUGAGGAGCAAGGUGACGAGAGCAAUGGCGUCCAGUCAGACGAGGCCCUAACGCGCGGUUCAUCUGCCUCUACUACUGAUCAAAAGGAUGGUGCAGCAUCAAAAAGGAAACAGCUUGGGGCCAACCAGGUGCCUCCAUCUAGUGAGCAACGUCCACCCUCUCCACCCGGUCCACCUCCAUCUGCCACGCUGCUGGCUGGGUCAGAAACCCAACCCAGUCAGGACAUCAGCCCCGCCGUGGCAGCUGCCUUGCUCCAGCUCAUCUCUCAGCAGGACUCGGAUGCUGGGGCUUCCCAGCCCAGCAAGACCCCCUCUCCGGCUGUAGAUGCUCCAUCCCAGGGACAGCCCCCGCCUCCCUGGGUCGCAGACUCCUCACCUAAACCUUCAGCUGCAGCUGAGUCCCCGGCAGGACUGGUGACUGCUGCUUCUAGCACCACGGCACAGUUCCCGAAGGACCAGGACCUCCGCUUUGCCCAUGGAGCUGCCCGCUGAUCUUCAGUCCCCUGGUGAGAUGGGCCUGGAUACCUUGGGCUGGUGCCAGCAAUUCUGGCCUGAAGGGAAAGGCAGGACACACAUUAUGACUCACCGGACCAUGACCAGCCUGGUGAGGUGACACCCUGUGUGCAGUGUGACACCGAGCUGUCACCUCCCACUGCCUGCAUCACACCUCUGCCCCCUGCUGGGCCAACCCCGUCACGGCACCCAGCCGGCCUCUCCUCCUCCGCUCAGACCAAAAGUGACAAGCCGCGCACGCGCACGUCCCCUCAGUCAUGCACUCAAGCGCUUUCUUUUGCAACUUUGCGUUUCCAGUCACUCUGGACUAAGUUACUUAAACCAUUUCAUGUAUUUUAUGCACUUUGCCUUGUGCGUGCUGUGAUGUAAUGUACAUGUCACAUGUUCUUUUUAGCUUUUGUUCCACUAUAACAAUUAAAAGAUAAAAACAAAUGCGUCAAACAAAUUAAACAUAUUAAAAGUAAUAAACAAAAAUUAAAAAAAAUUAAAUUAAAGAUUUUGCUAACUUUUGUUUCUGAUGAGUGGAUUAUUUAUUUAUUUUCAAAUCUCUAAAAUAAUUUGUGUUUGUGACAACCGUGCACCGUUUUGAGGUUCCCACACAGACAUAACUCAAUUAAAAAUUGAAAAAAAAGUAUUUUUAUUGAUUCAUUUCUCAAAUUCUUUCCAAUCUAGAUUCAUCUGGUGGCACAUUGACACACAGCUGAUUCUGCGGUCACACCAGGAUGCCGCGGUGUCUGAGCGUGACAGCAGAGGAGUCCUCCACGUCCCCUCACUCACGCUCUCCAGUCUCGGUCUGUUUGCACUUUCAUAUCUGAUUAUGCUUUAGCUUAUGGAGCCACUGGCUUGAGUGUGUCCAGCCAGGCAGGCCAGUGGAGAGCAGGGACAGAGCGAUUGAGAUAUAGAGCAUUAGUUGGUGUCAGGAGUAAAUUAGAGGCCAGAUCUGUUUUCUAAUCAGAGCACAAGCACCGUGUUAGAGGAAUUAGGGCGACAGCUGCUGGGAGCUUUUUAUUCCUCUCUUUCUCAGCCAGAGACAGGCAGACCCCAGCUCAGGGACCACCUCUUUACCACAGCCACCUGUCAACGCUGGUGCGUGUGUGUGUGUGUGUGUGUGUGUGUGUGUGUGUGUGUGUGUGUGUGUGUGUGUGUGUGUGUGUGUGUGUGUGUGUGUGCGUGCGUGUGCGUGUGUGUGUGUGUGUGUGUGCGACAGAGAACAGAAACAUGCGUGCGCCCCCCCUACACACACACACAGUGCCAUGCAGCCUGCACACAUGCUUGCACACAGACACACAAACACCGUCUGGUACAGUGACCUCCCUCCAUCUCUGAAAUUAAUGACAGUGCAGGUUGUGUACGCACGCAGGCACUCAUUCAUUGUGUGUUUAUGUUUUCCAGUAAGUGUGAAAGGCCCUUAUGAGAUAUCAAAUUUAGAUCAGGUGGAGCGGUGGGCAGCCUCGCAUAUGUCUGUUUACUACGGAUCCCAGCGAAGGCCACUACACGGCAUCCGUCUUAUCAGUGAACAGGUAUUUUUAGACUUUAGACCCCUGGUCACAAACAAAACACGGAAACAGCCGUCAUUAGUUUCUGUCAAAAUAAAAGCGUACGAGCAAAUAAGAAAGAAUAAACUCAGUCAAGUUUACAAUGAGUGAUGAAUAAAUGAGUGUCGUGAGCUGCUCGCACUGAUUUUUCCUAGCAGACAUCUCUGGUGGGCAGGACUGUGGGAGGGUGAGAGGUGUAGGAGGAGGCACAGAGAUUCACACCAUGUCACACACUUGCUACAGAAAUGUCACCUCUUGUUUUUGCAGAUCAGCUGAAUCUGUAGUGUUUUUCAGGUGGUUGUUGUUUUGUGGGUUUCCUGUGUGCUUUGAAUUUAAACAGGCCUUUUUAAACCCCAGGAAAUCACAAGCAAAUUGCACCAACAAAUAAAUUAUUUGAAAAAAAAAAUAUUAUUUGUUUUAUAUAUAAAAAAUCCGUGAAUUACGGGGAAUUUGUUGAUCUUAUUUUAAUGCAUUCCUGCAGUUAUUACCCUUUUAUUGCACAUCUCAGUGCUGCUUCUUUAUUAAAUCCCUCAUUCUUCUUUAGCUGGCAGCUUGAAGAGGACACAGUAGAAAUAAAUUUAAAAUUAUGUAAUCAUUAUUAGAACAUUUACAAUAAUUCACAUUAGCAGUAUAUUAAAUAAUCGUUUUCCUUGCAGUUAAAUAAACACCUGAAUAUAGGUCACAUUAAACAUAAUUAGGCCAGUUAUUUUUUAAAGACAUCAUCUGAUUGGCUGUUGUAAGUGUCUGUCUCAGCACACUAAUAAAAAUCACACUAUGUGUUAAUAGUAAGUUAAAUAGGUUAAAUCCAGGUCUACAGUGAGAAACCUGAAAGAAGAAUCUAACUUUAAUUCAGGCAACAUUCAUGCAGCUUUGGAGGCUAAUUUGCUAUUGGCUGAGGCCUAAUAGGGAAACACAUGCACGUCCACACCAACACACUCACACACACACUCACACACAGACACAGGCCUCCUCUCUCUCUCUCUAGCACAUCCCACACAUGUGCGCUGCCACACACUGUCAUAAAUAGACAGACAGUGCCAAUCUGAAGGCUGGACGGGAGCCAGCUCUGCAGCAGCUCAGUAGUUAAAUUAUUAACACCAACUGGGAGAGAGACAAAGAGAGGAGCAGAUCAGGCAGCUCAGAGGAGAGGUGAUCUGGAGAGGAGAAAAGAGGAGGUGAAUGGAGACAAGCUCAACAUCAGAGGGGCCGAGGAGGUUGCGGCCGCUCAGGUGCUGACGCUGUGUAGGGACGGAGAAGAGAGAGACGCUCCAGCAGCCACGCGAAAUCAAAACGCCUCUGAUAUUCAACCCAGGGAGAGAUUUUGGGUCGCAUUCACAAAACAAAAGGAUUUUUGUGAUGUGUGUGUGAGAGGAAGGUAGAGAGAUGAGGUGGAUGCUGAGUUUUUUUUUUUUAGAUAGAUGUUAGUGGAA
RNA transcript from Betta splendens (Siamese fighting fish), 7794 nucleotides. It is a transcript of the gene named cyclin-dependent kinase 12, with no coding region annotated. NCBI's taxonomy places the organism in Eukaryota, Metazoa, Chordata, Actinopteri, Anabantiformes, Osphronemidae. The record is from RefSeq and is a predicted model, not a curated record. The transcript has 16 exons.